CCAUAACGCCACUGUGAACCUUCCCCAAUCACAUCUGAUCUUGGAAACUAAGGGGAGCUGGGCUUGGUUAGCAUUUGGAGGCUCACCAACUGAGGCUUAGAUAUAUAGU
Molecule: ribosomal RNA, 109 nt
Filed under: Octodon degus (degu)
Lineage: Eukaryota; Metazoa; Chordata; Mammalia; Rodentia; Octodontidae
Source: RNAcentral